CGUGACUCGGUCCCCCAGGUGGUCUCUGGUCGGUGAGGAUACUGCGAUGUGGGUAUAACACAACCUUAACUCCAAAACGGAACAAUCAUCUACAAAAGUAAAAGUAACGGCAUCUAUAUUGUAAAUCUGAAGAGAACCUGAGGGCAGUCCGUGCUGGCAAGUGGAGCCACCGCUGUUGCUGGAAACUGGCUGAUGCUCGCGUCGUGUUCUCGAACACUUGCCAGCGAGGUGAGCUGGCCUUUGCGGCUCUCGCGGGAGCCACGCCUGUCAUUUCGCUGCUUCGCUUCUGGAAACUUCGGUAACCAGAUUCAAGGAGCCUCCCGUGCUGUGACUUCUGGCGGUAACCACUCUAAGGACCGACCGCUAUCCUCUCAGAGGGGCUUCUUACGUUAGCCCGCCUAUCCCUGCUCUGUGUAACGGGGACUCCGCGUUAUCUGAGCGCAGCUCCCCUGUGUAAGGAGAGCCCCGGCGCCUGAGGGAGGCCGCCUCCGAAAUUGUGCGCAUGCGCAGCACCGUCUCCCACGGGCCCCCACGGAAGACACGCCUGAUUUUCCUUUGCAGUAAAUCCUGAGAGGCUCGCAAAGGAAAAGCAGGACCCAGAGGAGAAAACAAGGGCUCAGAGAUUCAAGCUUAAUAUCCUGCUUUUCAUAAAGUCAAAACUGCACCAAAAGAGAACUCAAAGAACACUGAACUGAACUCCAAAAGAAAACAUAUUACUUUUCUGAGACCAUUACUUAUUCACACAGCCGACUUGAUAAGAAAAAAAAAAAAUGACAUGCUAUCAAAUCUUCAUUUAUCCUAAAGUACGGUUCAGAUGACUUCAUAACUAUCUCUAUGAUAGAGU
Long non-coding RNA from Hyaena hyaena (striped hyena), 844 nucleotides. RefSeq lists it as uncharacterized. The transcript is spliced from 3 exons. Lineage: Eukaryota; Metazoa; Chordata; Mammalia; Carnivora; Hyaenidae. The record is from RefSeq and is a predicted model, not a curated record.